UUAAGUUAGAAGUAAUAACCUGCUAUGAAAUUGAAAGCUCCUUGGCAAGUAUCGUCCUUGUUUCGUAAACUCGGUCCGAGUUUUCAGGAGUUUUGUUGUUUUUACCAAAGUUUUUCUAAACUGUAUGAAGGUGCUCUGCAUUGUGAAGAAUUGAAUUAAACAGAGGGAUCUUAUGGAGGCGAAGUAGCAGCGGAAUUAACUACGAUUGGAUAUACAUAUAUAAAUAACUGAGACACGAUGGGCAACACACCUACAGUUAAAAAGGGCAACGAACCUCAGGAAGCGUCAGGUAGGAAUGGAGCUUCGCAAGUCGUCAAGGAGUUCUUGGAAAAAGCUAAGGAGGAUUAUGAAGAAAAGUGGAAGAGAAAUCCUUCGAAUACAGCAGCGUUAGACGAAUUUGACAGAAUAAAAACCCUUGGGACAGGAUCAUUUGGCAGAGUCAUGUUGGUGCAGCACAAAGCCUCCAAGGAAUAUUACGCCAUGAAGAUUCUAGACAAACAAAAAGUGGUGAAACUUAAGCAAGUAGAACACACUCUGAAUGAGAAGAAGAUCCUGCAAGCCAUCAGUUUCCCAUUUUUAGUCAGCCUUAAGUUCCAUUUCAAGGACAACUCAAACCUCUACAUGGUAUUGGAGUAUGUACCUGGAGGCGAGAUGUUUUCUCACCUCCGCAAGGUGGGCCGAUUCAGUGAACCCCAGUCGAGAUUCUACGCUGCACAAAUUGUGCUUGCUUUUGAGUACCUCCACUACCUGGACCUCAUUUAUCGAGACCUCAAGCCAGAAAACCUGCUCAUCGACAACACAGGUUACCUGAAGGUGACUGAUUUUGGUUUUGCUAAAAGAGUCAAAGGCAGGACGUGGACUCUUUGUGGAACACCAGAAUAUCUUGCACCUGAGAUCAUCCUCAGCAGAGGAUACAACAAAGCGGUCGAUUGGUGGGCGCUAGGCGUUUUGGUCUAUGAAAUGGCAGCAGGAUACCCGCCUUUCUUUGCUGACCAGCCUAUUCAAAUUUACGAGAAAAUUGUAUCUGGAAAGGUUCGCUUUCCAUCACACUUCAGCUCGGAACUGAAAGACCUGCUGCGCAACCUGCUUCAGGUUGACCUCACCAAGCGUUAUGGCAACCUGCGUAACCACGUCAAUGACAUCAAAAACCACCGCUGGUUCCAGUCCACUGACUGGAUCGCAGUCUUUCAAAAAAGGGUAGAGGCGCCGAUGCGACCGAAAGUGCGCUUUGCCGGUGACACGACGCACUUCGCCGAUUACAAAGAGAGCAGUUCAUUGUUCGACAUUUCAGCGACGCCUAUGUUCACUAACGAAUUUCUUGAUUUCUAACACAAUCACACUCCUACACAUAACUCUUGUUCAACUCGGCUCCUGCAUGCUUUUUGGUGGAAGCACCGUUUGCUCCACGAUGCAAGGGACCAGGGGACACAAGCAACUUUGACGAUUACGAAGAAGAAGCCCUGCGAAUAUCUUCCACCGAAAAGUGUGCAAAGGAGUUUGCCGACUUCUAAAUUGAUCAGCCAAAUGAAAACUAUCUGUCUCCUCUACCUGCUUCAGACAACAAAAAUCAGCACAGUUAACAAACCUGGUUAAUUUCCAAGAGCAGCAGUCAAUUUUUGCGAGGUCAAUAUCCUGAUUUUAUUGAGGCAUCAGACUCUUGUUGAUUGUUUUCUAUUGGUUUUUUGUUGAUUUUGCUUCUUGCUAGUACAGUUGAAGAGAAAAGUGUACAUAAAGUUAUUAUCAUUACUAUUCUACAAAAUAGGGAGCAGAAUUACACAAAGAAAUGAUGAAGUGCGCCUCACUGCGCGUAGCCUGUAACUCGUAAUGGCACCAACUAGACUAAUACACCUAAAUUAUUAUUUAUAAUUUCUAAGCAUGAGAAAGUAGAUUUGUUUGUUGAUGCAACUGUGUCUCGGAAGCUAAUUUUUUUUAGUCAACGUGCAUAUCAUAUUUAUUUCAACUUCAGACGGAGGUCCAAUAUACUUAUUUCCUGAAUGGGUUUUUUGAAGAUCGGAAAUUCUGUUGGUGGAAAAAGUUACAUGCUUCUGAGGAUUGAUUGUAUUUGGCUGUUCUGAUUGUGAGUGAGUCUGGAUUAUGAGCGCAGCUUAACCAUGUGAUAAUUUGGACAAUUAGCCCUGUUAGAAAGUUGAAGAACAUGUGGAGUAUAACCUGUUUGCAUAUUGCGCUUGAGUUAACCUUAUCACAAUAAUUACUUGUUAAAAUGUUUGCGAUUGAUUGCACUCGAGUCUCAAGCACAAUAAUUUACCAUAUUCAAAGCCAUGAACUUUAGUUGUAGAGCCUUUCAAAUUACCAUACUUGAAUACCAAAGGUACCCUUAUUUCACCUUCAUUUUUUUGUGAUUUUUGUCAAAAGCCUGCUGAUAUCAAGAGAAAUUCGCACAACGGAAGUCCGUCUUGAAUUCAAUAUUAUCGUUUCUACAGUGCAAAGUCGUGCUCAAUUUGGCCUACCAUCAUCAGAUUUUACAAAAACAUUUUUAAGUGGCAUUCAGUGGUACUAAAUUUUUUGUUACAUCGAAUGCGAUUUCUUUAAAAAGAGAGACUCAACAAAUGGUACAAUUCAAGGAAUUGAAAGAAAACUAAUUCUAAUAACAAGGAAAUCUUGAUUUCAGCUGGUGCUUGAAAGCCAAUUUUUAAUAUAAUACAUUUUAUUUUUAUUAAACCGUUCACAUUAAGAAUUUUGAAAUUAAAUAAACACCUGCUAACGUGCUAUUUAAUUGAUUGAAGAAGUUGAAGUAAAUUUAAUCUUAUUAAUUAUUGAUAUGCCAUUAUUAGGUGGUGAUGAUGAAAAAAUAUUGUAACAAAUCAAUGCACUCAUUGUGAUGGGGUGGGGGUUUUUGGAAUGAUAGAAAAAGAUGAUUCUUGUUGAGCAAAA
Cloeon dipterum is the source of this 2892-nucleotide RNA transcript. It is a transcript of the gene named cAMP-dependent protein kinase catalytic subunit 1-like, with no coding region annotated. The transcript has 11 exons. NCBI's taxonomy places the organism in Eukaryota, Metazoa, Arthropoda, Insecta, Ephemeroptera, Baetidae. The record is from RefSeq and is a predicted model, not a curated record.